UGCGCAGGCGGAACUUUAAGUCAGUGGUGAAAUCUUGCCGCUUAACGGUAAAAUUGCCAUUGAUACUGAAGUUCUUGAAUAUGGUUGAGGUAGGCGGAAUGUGUUGUGUAGCGGUGAAAUGCAUAGAUAUGACACAGAACUCCGAUUGCGAAGGCAGCUUACUAAGCCAUUAUUGACGCUGAGGCACGAAAGCGUGGGGAGCGAACAGGAUUAGAUACCCUGGUAGUCC
This 229-nucleotide ribosomal RNA is filed under the name uncultured bacterium. RNAcentral's name for it is "partial 16S ribosomal RNA". It matches the Rfam family "Bacterial small subunit ribosomal RNA", at positions 568 to 796 of the family's 1533-position model. The record is from RNAcentral.